UGGGGAAUUUUGGACAAUGGGCGAAAGCCUGAUCCAGCAAUGCCGCGUGUGUGAAGAAGGCCUUCGGGUUGUAAAGCACUUUUGUCCGGAAAGAAAUCCUUGGCUCUAAUACAGUCGGGGGAUGACGGUACCGGAAGAAUAAGCACCGGCUAACUACGUGCCAGCAGCCGCGGUAAUACGUAGGGUGCAAGCGUUAAUCGGAAUUACUGGGCGUAAAGCGUGCGCAGGCGGUUUGCUAAGACCGAUGUGAAAUCCCCGGGCUCAACCUGGGAACUGCAUUGGUGACUGGCAGGCUAGAGUAUGGCAGAGGGGGGUAGAAUUCCACGUGUAGCAGUGAAAUGCGUAGAGAUGGUGGAGGAAUACCGAUGGCGAAGGCAGCCCCCUGGGCCAAUACUGACGCUCAUGCACGAAAGCGUGGGGGAGCAAAACAGGAUUAGAUACCCUGGUAGUCCACGCCCUAAACGAUGUCAACUAGUUGUUGGGGAUUCAUUUCCUUAGUAACGUAGCUAACGCGUGAAGUUGACCGCCUGGGGAGUACGGUCGCAAGAUUAAAACUCAAAUGAAUUGACGGGGUCAUAGCUGUUUCCU
This 588-nucleotide ribosomal RNA is filed under the name uncultured bacterium. RNAcentral describes it as "partial 16S ribosomal RNA". It matches the Rfam family "Bacterial small subunit ribosomal RNA", at positions 355 to 1375 of the family's 1533-position model. The record is from RNAcentral.